RNAcentral lists this ribosomal RNA (497 nucleotides) under uncultured bacterium. RNAcentral's name for it is "partial 16S ribosomal RNA". It matches the Rfam family "Bacterial small subunit ribosomal RNA", at positions 28 to 507 of the family's 1533-position model. The record is from RNAcentral.
GAUGAACGCUGGCGGCGUGCCUAAUACAUGCAAGUCGAGCGAACGGACGAGAAGCUUGCUUCUCUGAUGUUAGCGGCGGACGGGUGAGUAACACGUGGAUAACCUACCUAUAAGACUGGGAUAACUUCGGGAAACCGGAGCUAAUACCGGAUAAUAUUUUGAACCGCAUGGUUCAAAAGUGAAAGACGGUCUUGCUGUCACUUAUAGAUGGAUCCGCGCUGCAUUAGCUAGUUGGUAAGGUAACGGCUUACCAAGGCAACGAUGCAUAGCCGACCUGAGAGGGUGAUCGGCCACACUGGAACUGAUACACGGUCCAGACUCCUACGGGAGGCAGCAGUAGGGAAGCUUCCGCAAUGGGCGAAAGCCUGACGGAGCAACGCCGCGUGAGUGAUGAAGGUCUUCGGAUCGUAAAACUCUGUUAUUAGGGAAGAACAUAUGUGUAAGUAACUGUGCACAUCUUGACGGUACCUAAUCAGAAAGCCACGGCUAACUACGUG